CAACCCGGAAGUGAACGCAGGCGCCCGCACACCACAACCAGGAACUCACAUGCGCCCCUAAAUGUGUUCAGUCUCUUAUGUUGGCGAAACGCAAUACUGAGAGGCGUCGCCGGCAUUCGCCUGUGCGCGGCACGUGGCACAGGCUGUGCUGCCGCUGCUGCUGCUGCGUGUGGUGGUGCCGCAUCCGCAUUGCCUAAGGUCUCUUGUUUUUUAUUCUGAUUGCUCGCCCGCCUCGAUCGCUUGCUGUGACGGGGCACAUUCCGCGUUGUUGCGCCCUGGCCAGCGCAGCCAGUGGAGCUACGGCCCGGCCCGGCCUCCACCGUCUACGAAAGAGCUGUGGGACAGCCUGGAGGGCCUGCUGAUCUGUGUGCGCCCCACGCACCCGGCAAAUGCAUUCGAGGACCGCCCCGCCGCUGUGGCGCAGCCCGGCAUGCACGUGAAGAGCGCCAUCGCCAGCUGGAGCGGCAAUGCGACGUGGGGCCCGGCGAUGGGCACUGGCGAAGCGGAGCCCUCUGCGGUACGUGAGCGCAUGGCGGCGCGGGGGCCGCCGGGGAAGCUGUUCCACAGCGCGAAGCUGCUGGGGCAGGUGAGUUGGCUGCGCUGCUGCGUGCGCGACCCGCGCGGCGGCGAGGCCGCCGUGCUCAUGCUCUUUAGCCGCUGCUGGCGGGUGGAGCGGAUGUGACGGCUGGUGCAGGUGGAUGUCUCGAAGGUUGUGUUUGUGUCGGAGCUCGAGCGGGGCGGCGUUGGCGAGAAGGCGCCGCGGGAGCGCGACCGCCGCAAGGCGAUCCGCAUGCUGCACCGGGGAGGGGUGGCGGAGAGGAAUUUCCGCCGUGCCCCUGGCCAAGUACGAGGGCGCCAUCAGCUGCACUGCCGGCGUGUCUGUGGUGUGUUGCGUCUUCACGACGAGCCUGCGCGCGUAGCGGCGGCGGCAGCGGGGCCGCCAACUCAAGACAGCCAUCGAGGCCACCUCGAAGGCCGCCCAGUCAUCGAAGGGCGAGGGUGUGCUGGCGCCGCUCGGUGGGGCCUUCGCCGUGAAGCGCAAGGAUGAGGGGGCGGUGGUGCGCCGUGCGCUGACGCAGGUGGUGCCGUUGCAUUCCCGCCGCGCGGCGCUGGAGAAGCGGGCGCGGCUCGCGCACGUCGGCCUCUGUGGCUUGGCAAACGCGGUGGAUUUCGGGGGGAUAAAGAGUUGCGGCGUCAACCAGCUUUAUGGUUGCUUUUUGUCGACCUGUGGUUUUUCUUUUAACGGACUGACUGGGCUGCCCAUGCGGCGGUGCUGUAGCUGGCCUCGUUGCCAUUCGCCAAUGGUGUGCAUGGUGGCGCCGUUGUGGACAUGCCAGUGCUCCGCCAGCGAGAGGUGCGAGAGUGUGCGGUGCGUGAGGCUGCGCCGGACGAGAGAUGAAGUGCCCCUAAGGCCUUGCGCACGGCGUCGUGCUGCAUGUCGGUCUGGCAAGUGGACGGGACGAUGGCCUGCGAGCGGAGGGCGAAGCCUCGGCUUCUCCCUGCGUGCUUGUGAGGAUACCGAUACAGCUGCGGUGCCUCUGACGACAUCUCACGACGGCGAGCCGUUGGAUGCACACCUCGCCGCACGGCUAAGCACCGCGAUGUGGGGGGGCCGACAGCUGCGUGCGAGUGCGGGUCUGUUGCGGAGCACUUCUUGCGGGUCUUGUGGUGACAGGCGAGUGGAGGAGGGGAGGAAGGGGACGCUCGCCCGCUGCAGAGGCUCAGCUGGCUGCGCUUAGAAAGCAUAUGUGCAUCCACAGAAAAGGUGCGGCUUAUUCACGCGGUGCGUGUGCAGUGCAGGGAAUGAGUCACUGAUGCAUGCGCAUGCGUGUGUGUGUGUGUGCUGUGAAGGCGAGUGCGCCUUCGGCAGCAAAUGCUAACGGGCAACUCAAGCCCUCUCCUCCUGCUUGACUCCUCCUCUCUGCCCGACGCCGGCAGGUGAGUGCACCGGUCCCUGCGGAAGGAUGUGGACGCACCGCAGCUCAUCAGUACCGCAUUCCGUUUGAUGGCACUUCAUUUUGAUCCCUUUCUUAGGCUAUUAGGAGGUGUGCCGGCGAGGUGUGCUGCGGAUGCGGCUGUGGUCUUGACGCUGCAGAGGUGGGCGGGGGGGGUGCGCGUGCGCUGAGCUGCGUGGGGCUAAUUGCGGAAAAGCAGCUGUGCAUGGGCAUUCUCGUGCAUGGCCAAGCCUCGCGCGGCCUCACAUUGGCGGGGCUCCUGGCGGAUUACGUCCGCUACCGGUGGCACCUCAUGAGCACCGAGAACUGGGGAAAGGGCGGGCGCCCUGCGCACGUGGGGAUUCUGACUGCGGAUGGCUCGAUCACCAUACUGCUGAGGGAGGGGUGCAGGUGUCGGAGGCGUGUAUCCAUCGCCUCGAGGCGGCUGUCAGCCGAUUCAUGGACAACCGCCUGCGCCCGCUACCGGGAGACGAGGCGGAUGCUGGCAUGGGGCGAGUGGCGGCGGGUCUGGGAAGACAUAGAUGUCGCCGUCUCUGAAGAGCUCCAUCGCCGAUCGACACACCCACGGAGGAGGAUCCGCGGGUGCUCUUCCGCAUUCCCCUCCUCCGCGUUCGACGCGUGGCAUGCACGCAAGGCGUCACUGCAGGGCGGAAACAGCGUGCGCCGGCUCAUUCUAGUGGUGGCAUCGAAGGCCGAGCGGACGGAUGCUUCGCAGGCCUGCUGCUGGAAGUGCGAUUGCGCUGCUUGGCAGACACCUCCCGCUGUUUGCGCUACUCUGGUGGCCUGAUCGUCGGCCUGGACGGCGAGCAGCUGCAGGUGACACUUCAUCUGGGGACUGGCUUGUUGACGUGCCUCGCGCAGCGGGCGACCCACUACCACCGCGGCUCCAUGCCGCUGCGGGAACUGCUGCGUGCGCGACCCGACCGGCGUGCCGGCCCCACAGAGCCCGGCGAUCGUGUCGGAGGAAGGUGGCGCAGCGCUCAGGGCGGCCGACAUGAUGGAGCGCUGCAGCUGCCGCACCUGUGUGGCCGACUGCGCCCUCUCCGUGAUGGCUGAGGAAGAGGGUCUGAUGAGGAGACGGCUCAUGCUGUGGCCGCGGAGGGAUACAUGGCCGGUGCCUAUCUGGACUGCUCGCCGUGGCUCUGCGUGCUGUGCAACGUUGGUGGAGUCGCGGGCUGGAAGGCGUCGCUUUCCCAGGGGUCCAUGCCUGAAGGGCUCAUGUCCUCAGCCGUGUUGGGCGCCGCUGGCGGGAGGGCCUAUCGGCUGGGAGCUGUGCCAGUGGCGUGAAGCGUUACGCCCUGAAGCGAUGCAGGUGGUGGCAGCACGGUUGGCUGGUGGCCCCCUGCAACGCCGAGCGACGUGCUAGCCAUGUGCGAGUCGAUGUGUGGACAGACCGCAUGCGGAGUGCAGGCACGUGUCGAGCCGUGAAGCAGGCAGCAGGGUCGGUGAUUCAGGCGGCAUGCCGGUUGAAGGUCACUGUCAAUUGGGACGAAGCUGAGGUCGCUCUCCCUCAAGUGUUGCAUGGGUGAUGUGCCGCCGCGAUGCGAAGGUCGUCUGCUUUGGAGGAAAAACUGUCGGGAAGCUGCGCGCGGCGUCACCAGGACAUGUGACAAUGGCAUGGCCUGAACGUUCUUGCGAUGACUGCGGCACAGUGCCGGAGCUGUGAUGGUUCGUGCUCACUUAUUUUUGGGAUUUCUCCAAGGUGCAAGGUGGCUGCCUUUCAAAAACUCGCGUUUUUUUGUUGCUGGGUCGCCGAUAGCCGGCCGCGCUGUCCCGGGAGCGCUCAGGGUGAGUUGGACAAGCGGCACAGGUGGGCCGCAGUGAAUGCACCACUGCCCACCAGGCCGCCGCCGAGGAUGACCGGUGCCGUGUGCGGCCUCUGCGCCGACGCGACAUUGGGCGGAUGGGGAGCCGCGUGCGUGAAGCGGGCGGCAUAGUAAGCCGCCAUGACGGGUAUGCGAGGAGGACACGGCCCCGCCGACCGUGUAGGUGCGGCGCCUUUUCUGCUGAAGCUGCAGCUUACAUUCAUGUGGGUAGCACGUCUGCCAUCGCUGCUUUCCAC
Molecule: unclassified non-coding RNA, 4017 nt
Filed under: Leishmania donovani
Lineage: Eukaryota; Euglenozoa; Kinetoplastea; Trypanosomatida; Trypanosomatidae
Description: gene:LdHU3.29.2100(CDS-product:hypothetical_prote in)
Source: RNAcentral